UAGGGAAUCUUCCACAAUGGACGAAAGUCUGAUGGAGCAACGCCGCGUGAGUGAAGAAGGGUUUCGGCUCGUAAAGCUCUGUUGGUAGUGAAGAAGAUAGAGGUAGUAACUGGUCCUUUAUUUGACGGUAAUUACUUAGAAAGUCACGGCUAACUACGUGCC
RNAcentral lists this ribosomal RNA (162 nucleotides) under uncultured bacterium. RNAcentral describes it as "partial 16S ribosomal RNA". It matches the Rfam family "Bacterial small subunit ribosomal RNA", at positions 355 to 509 of the family's 1533-position model. The record is from RNAcentral.